RNAcentral lists this ribosomal RNA (1483 nucleotides) under Bacillus subtilis. Its description in RNAcentral is "bacterial SSU rRNA". It matches the Rfam family "Bacterial small subunit ribosomal RNA". The record is from RNAcentral. Lineage: Bacteria; Bacillati; Bacillota; Bacilli; Caryophanales; Bacillaceae.
CUUGUUUCUUUUGUAGUUUUCCAGAGUAAUACUCGUAAGUCGAGCGGACAGAUGGGAGCUUGCUCCCUGAUGUUAGCGGCGGACGGGUGAGUAACACGUGGGUAACCUGCCUGUAAGACUGGGAUAACUCCGGGAAACCGGGGCUAAUACCGGAUGCUUGUUUGAACCGCAUGGUUCAAACAUAAAAGGUGGCUUCGGCUACCACUUACAGAUGGACCCGCGGCGCAUUAGCUAGUUGGUGAGGUAAUGGCUCACCAAGGCAACGAUGCGUAGCCGACCUGAGAGGGUGAUCGGCCACACUGGGACUGAGACACGGCCCAGACUCCUACGGGAGGCAGCAGUAGGGAAUCUUCCGCAAUGGACGAAAGUCUGACGGAGCAACGCCGCGUGAGUGAUGAAGGUUUUCGGAUCGUAAAGCUCUGUUGUUAGGGAAGAACAAGUACCGUUCGAAUAGGGCGGUACCUUGACGGUACCUAACCAGAAAGCCACGGCUAACUACGUGCCAGCAGCCGCGGUAAUACGUAGGUGGCAAGCGUUGUCCGGAAUUAUUGGGCGUAAAGGGCUCGCAGGCGGUUUCUUAAGUCUGAUGUGAAAGCCCCCGGCUCAACCGGGGAGGGUCAUUGGAAACUGGGGAACUUGAGUGCAGAAGAGGAGAGUGGAAUUCCACGUGUAGCGGUGAAAUGCGUAGAGAUGUGGAGGAACACCAGUGGCGAAGGCGACUCUCUGGUCUGUAACUGACGCUGAGGAGCGAAAGCGUGGGGAGCGAACAGGAUUAGAUACCCUGGUAGUCCACGCCGUAAACGAUGAGUGCUAAGUGUUAGGGGGUUUCCGCCCCUUAGUGCUGCAGCUAACGCAUUAAGCACUCCGCCUGGGGAGUACGGUCGCAAGACUGAAACUCAAAGGAAUUGACGGGGGCCCGCACAAGCGGUGGAGCAUGUGGUUUAAUUCGAAGCAACGCGAAGAACCUUACCAGGUCUUGACAUCCUCUGACAAUCCUAGAGAUAGGACGUCCCCUUCGGGGGCAGAGUGACAGGUGGUGCAUGGUUGUCGUCAGCUCGUGUCGUGAGAUGUUGGGUUAAGUCCCGCAACGAGCGCAACCCUUGAUCUUAGUUGCCAGCAUUCAGUUGGGCACUCUAAGGUGACUGCCGGUGACAAACCGGAGGAAGGUGGGGAUGACGUCAAAUCAUCAUGCCCCUUAUGACCUGGGCUACACACGUGCUACAAUGGACAGAACAAAGGGCAGCGAAACCGCGAGGUUAAGCCAAUCCCACAAAUCUGUUCUCAGUUCGGAUCGCAGUCUGCAACUCGACUGCGUGAAGCUGGAAUCGCUAGUAAUCGCGGAUCAGCAUGCCGCGGUGAAUAGGUUCCCGGGCCUUGUACACACCGCCCGUCACACCCCGGGAUUUUGUAACACCCGAAGUCGGUGAGGUAACCUUUAGGAGCCAGCCGCCGAAGGUGGACUUUCAUGGCCUCGAUCCCCCCC